CCUACGGGUGGCAGCAGUGAGGAAUAUUGGUCAAUGGCCGGAAGGCUGAACCAGCCAAGCCGCGUGAAGGACGAAGGUGCCAAGCAUUGUAAACUUCUUUUGUCAAGGGACACAAUCAGGCUCGAGAGCCUGACCGAGGGUACUUGAAGAAAAAGCAUCGGCUAACUCCGUGCCAGCCGCCGCGGUAAUACGGAGGAUGCGAGCUUUAUCCGGUUUUAUGGGGUUUAAAGGGUGCGUAGGAGGACUGUUAAGUCAGCGGGAAAAGCCCGGGGCUCAACCCCGGCGAGCCGUUGAGACGGGCUGUCUUGAGAUGUCGAGAGGUAUGCGGAAUGCGCAGUGUAGCGGUGAAAUGCUUAGAUAUUGCGCAGAACUCCGAUUGCGAAGGCAGCAUACCGGCGGCGAUCUGACGCUGAGGCACGAAAGCGUGGGUAUCGAACAGGAUUAGAUACCCGGGUAGUC
This 459-nucleotide ribosomal RNA is filed under the name uncultured bacterium. Its description in RNAcentral is "partial 16S ribosomal RNA". It matches the Rfam family "Bacterial small subunit ribosomal RNA", at positions 338 to 795 of the family's 1533-position model. The record is from RNAcentral.